RNAcentral lists this ribosomal RNA (253 nucleotides) under uncultured bacterium. Its description in RNAcentral is "partial 16S ribosomal RNA". It matches the Rfam family "Bacterial small subunit ribosomal RNA", at positions 524 to 776 of the family's 1533-position model. The record is from RNAcentral.
UACGUAGGGUGCGAGCGUUAAUCGGAAUUACUGGGCGUAAAGCGUGCGCAGGCGGUUCGUUGUGUCGGCGGUGAAAGCCCCGGGCUCAACCUGGGAAUGGCCGUUGAAACUGGCGAACUGGAGUGUGGCAGAGGGGGGUGGAAUUCCGCGUGUAGCAGUGAAAUGCGUAGAGAUGCGGAGGAACACCGAUGGCGAAGGCAGCCCCCUGGGCUGACACUGACGCUCAGGCACGAAAGCUAGGGUAGCAAACAGG